GUGUGGCCAGGAGGGCCACUUCCGGACUAAGUGCCCGAGGAGAUCGUCACCGGCACCAUCGACUGCAUCGGCACCGGCUCUACCAGCCGCUAGCCAGGUGACUCCAUCGGCACAGUACCAGCCUGGGCGGCCACCCGUCGAGCGUCAGAGCGAGGGAUCACGCCAGGCCUCGAGUGGCCGUAUGUAUGCCGCUCAGACCGAGGAGGCGGCGACAGCCGGGGAUGUGGUUGCAGGUAUCAUUUUACUUGAUGGUAUUAGAGUUCGAGCAUUGUUUGAUACCGGUGCAUUACAUUUAUUUAUAGAUCGGCUGUUCGCCGAGUUGCAUGACAUCCAGAUGGUUUUUUUGUUGCAUCCAGGACAGGUUGUAGUACCCGACCAUAUUUUGGAUAUUAGGGAAUACUGCUCCAGUUGCCCUGUUUGGGUUGGGGAUUGGAUUAUGCCCGUGGACUUGCUAGCCUUGCGCAAGCUAGGGGAGUUCGAUGUGGUUUUGGGUAUGGAUUGGCUAACCAAAUGUUAUGCCACGAUUGAUUGCAAGAAUCGCACGGUUACUUUUAGAGAACCGGGGCAAGUUGAGGUGAUAUUUAGAGAAUGCCAGAGUUCGCUAUUUGCGAUGACGAUCAGCUCGUCACGGGCUAGGCAGCUGACUAGCAGAGGGUGCAUAGCCUUUUUGGCUAGUGUUGUUAUGAGGGGCGACGAUGAUACCCCUAGGAUUGAGGAUAUCCCGGUGGUACGGGAGUUUCAGGAUGUGUUUCUAGCUGAGCUACUGGGUAUGCCACCUGAUAGGGAGAUUGAGUUCGUGGUAGAUCUCGUCCCUAGGACUACCCCAAUCUCAAAGGCACCCUAUAGGAUGGCACCGGCGGAGCUGAAGGAGCUGAGGGCACAGCUACAGGAUCUUCUGGACAGAGGCUUCAUUCGGCUGAGCGUCUCGCCUUGGGGAGCGCCAGUUUUGUUCGUCAAGAAGAAAGACAGAUCGCUUCGCUUAUGUGUGGACUAUCGUGAACUUAAUAAAGUCACGAUCAAGAAUAAGUAUCCGUUGCCGAGGAUCGACGACUUGUUUGAUCAGCUUCAGGGAUCGUGUGUGUAUUUCAAGAUAGACUUGCAGUUGGGAUACCACCAGUUAAAGAUCAAGCCCGAGGAUGUAUCGAAGACGACCUUUAGAACACGGUAUGAACAUUACGAGUUCACAGUUAUGCCGUUUUGGCUUACUAAUGCCCCGGCAGCUUUUAUGGAUUUAAUGAACAGUGUCUUUAAGCCUUAUCUGGAUAGGUUCAUCGUGGUGUUUAUCGACGACAUCUUGGUUUAUUCCCGAAGUGAUGCGGAUCACGAGGAGCAUUUGAGGCUUGUACUUCAACUACUUCGUGAAAGGGAGCUCUUUGCUAAGCUGAGAAAGUGUGAAUUUUGACUUCGAGAGGUGGCUUUCCUUGGGCAUCUGAUUUCGGGAUCAGGUAUUGCAGUGGAUCCCAAGAAGAUUGAGGCUAUCAGGGAGCCGAGACCGACAAGCGUCACGGAGAUUCGGAGUUUCCUUGGAUUGGCCGGCUACUGCCGGAGAUUUGUUGAGGGGUUUGCUAAGUUAUCUACUCCCCUCACGAGGCUCAUGCAUAAAGGUGUUAAGUUUAUUUGGAACGAUGCGUGUGAAAGGAGCUUCCAAGAGUUGAAGCAAAGAUUGACGACCGCCCCGAUCCUAACCCUGCCAGUUGCUGGAGCCGGGUAUGUGGUUUAUAGUGAUGCUUCAUUUAAUGGAUUGGGUUACGUUUUGAUGCAGAAUGGCAAGGUGAUCGCGUAUGCUUCCCGCCAAUUGAAGGAGUAUGAGAGAAAUUACCUCACACAUGAUUUGGAGUUGGCGGCCGUAGUCUUUGCAUUGAAGCUAUGGCGCCACUAUCUUUAUGGCGAGCGGUGUGAAAUAUACACGGAUCACAAGAGCUUGAAAUACCUAUUCACUCAGAAGGAGUUGAACUUGAGGCAGCGCAGAUGGUUGGAGCUGCUCAAGUAUUAUGAUUUGACCAUUCUCUACUACCCAGGCAAGGCUAACGUGGUGGCUGAUGCACUAAGUCGAAAAUCGAUGGAGAACUUGGCGAUGCAUAUUGUGGCUCAACCGCAAUUGAUCGAGCAGAUGAAGCAGUUGGAGAUGGAGGUGGUGACUCCUGACACGCCCUUGAGGUUGAUGACAUUGGUAGUGCAACCUACAUUGUUGGAUAGAAUCAAAGAAAAGCAAGUUUUCGAUGUGGAACUGCAAAAGAUUAGAGGAAAAAUGGUUGAUGGUUGCACCGGCGGUUUCCUCGUGGACGACCAAGGGUUGAUGCGCUUUCGAGGACGGCUUUGUGUUCCGGCGGAUUCGGGAAUUAAAGAAGAUAUUCUUCAAGAAGCGUACAGGGCGCCCUAUGCUAUACAUCCGAGAGGCACCAAGAUGUACAAGAAUUUAAAGUUGAUUUAUUGGUGGCCCGGGAUGAAAAAGGAUGUUUGUGAGUUUGUUGCUAGAUGUCUAACUUGCUAACAAGUUAAAGCUGAGCACCGGUUACCCGCGGGAAAACUUCGGAGUUUGUCGAUUCCCGUAUGGAAGUGGGAGAAGAUCACCAUGGAUUUUGUGACUGGAUUGCCUCGUUCUCAGGCCGGGCAUGAUGCCAUUUGGGUGAUUGUGGACAGAUUGACGAAGUCGGCGCACUUCAUACCUAUUCAUACGACUUGGACUGGGGAGAAGCUCGCACAAGUGUACCUUGACGAGAUUGUGCGACUGCACGAAGUGCCUACUUCGAUUGUAUCUGAUCGAGACACUCGGUUUGUGUCUCAUUUUUGGAGGAGUCUGUAGGACGCCUUAGGCACCUGACUGGAUUUCAGCACCGCUUUCCACCCUCAGAGUGAUGGGCAGUUGGAGCGCACUAUUCAGACUUUAGAGGAUAUGCUCCGAGCAUGUGUGAUUGACUUCCAGGGAGGAUUGUCGCAGUAUCUACCUAUGGCGGAGUUUGCUUAUAACAACAGUUAUCAAACAAGCAUCAAGUGCCCUUCGAAGCACUUUAUGGACGGAAGUGUAGAUCGCCACUUCAUUGGAGUGAAGUUGGCGAGAGACUUACUUUAGGCCCUGAUGUGCUCUAGGAAGCUGAGGACAAGGUUCGCAUUGCUCGGGAGCGACUCUUGACGGCGCAGAGUAGACAGAGGAGCUACGCUGAUCGAUGGCGGUGAGACUUGGAGUUCCAAGUUGGAGACCAUAUUUUCUUGAAGGUCUCGCCGACUAGAGGAAUCAAGAGAUUCGGGAUUCGGGGAAAGUUGAGCCCCCGUUUCAUUGGACCGUAUGAGAUUUUGGAACGUGUAGGCCCGGUAGCGUAUCGACUUGCCCUACCGCCGAAUCUAUCGGGCGUGCACAACGUUUUUCAUGUAUCGGUCCUUCGGAGAUACAUUCAUGAUCCAGCUCACAUUUUGGAUGGUUUACCAGUGGAGCUGCAUGAGGAUUUGAGCAUCGAGGAGCAACCAGUGAAGAUUUUGGCUCGCGAGGUGAAGAAGCUGUGGAGUCGGGAUAUUCCGUAUGUGAAGGUCCUUUGGAGCAACCANNNNNNNNNNNNNNGAUUGACGACGGCCCCAAUCCUUACCUUGCCGACUGCUGGAGCAGGGUAUGUGAUUUAUAGUGAUGCUUCCUUUAAUGGAUUGGGCUGUGUUUUGAUGCAGGGCGGGAAAGUGAUCGCGUAUGCAUCUCGCCAACUGAAGGACUAUGAAAAGAAUUACCCCACCCACGACUUGGAGUUGGCGGCCGUAGUCUUUGCAUUGAAGCUAUGGCGCCACUACUUAUAUGGCGAGCGGUGCGAAGUAUAUACGGAUCACAAGAGCUUAAAGUAUCUAUUCACUCAAAAGGAGUUGAACUUGAGGCAGCGCAGAUGGUUGGAGCUACUCAAGGAUUAUGAUUUGACAAUAUUUUACCACCCGGGCAAGGCUAACGUGGUGGCGGAUGCGCUAAGUAGGAAAUUGACAGAAAACUUAGCGAUACACGUUGUUACUCAAGCGCAGUUGAUUGAGCAGAUGAAGUGGUUGGAGUUGGAGGUGGUCACUCCAGACACACCCCUAAGGUUGAUGGCUUUGGUAGUGCAACCUACAUUGUUGGAUAGAAUUAAAGAAAAGCAAGCUUCCGAUGUGGAGUUGCAAAGGAUUAAGGAUAAAAUGGUUAAUGGUUGCAUCGGCGGCUUCCUUGUGGAUGAUCAAGGAUUGCUGCAUUUUCACAGACGGCUAUGUGUACCGGCGGAUGCGGGAAUCAAAGAGCACAUUCUUCGUGAAGCACACCGAGCACCGUAUGCUAUACAUCCGGGUGGCACCAAGAUGUACAAGGACUUAAAGUUGCUCUAUUGGUGGCCCGGGAUGAAAAAGGAUGUUGGCGAGUUUGUAGCUCGUUGUUUAACUUGCCAACAAGUAAAGGCUGAGCAUCGAUUACCCGCGGAAAAACUUCAGAGUUUGCCUAUCCCCGUGUGGAAGUUGGAAAAGAUCACCAUGGAUUUCGUGACUGGAUUGCCCCGCUCUCAGGCUGGGCAUGAUGCUAUAUGGGUGAUCGUGGAUAGGUUGACGAAGUCGGCGCACUUCAUACCUAUUCGUACUACUUGGACCGAAGAGAAGCUCGCACAAGUGUACCUUGAUGAGAUUGUGCGACUUCACGGAGGACCUACAUCGAUAGUAUCGGAUCGAGACACUCGGUUUGUGUCUCACUUUUGGAGGAGUCUACAGGACGCCUCGGGCACCCAACUCGACUUCAGUACUACUUUCCACCCUCAGAGUGAUGGGCAGUCGGAGCGCACCAUUCAGACUUUAGAGGAUAUGCUCCGAGCACGUGUGAUAGACUUCCAGGGAGGAUGGUCACAGCAUCUACCUAUGGCGGAGUUUGCUUAUAACAACAGUUAUCAAGCAAGCAUCAAGAUGGCGCCCUUCGAAGCACUUUAUGGACGGAAGUGUAGAUCGCCACUUCAUUGGAGUGAAGUUGGCGAGAGACUGACUUUAGGCCCUGAUGUGCUCCAAGAAGCUGAGGACAAGGUUCACAUUGCUCGGAAGCAACUCUUGACGGCGCAGAGUAGACAGAGGAGCUACGCUGAUCGACGGCGGCGAGACUUGGAGUUCCAAGUUGGAGACCAUAUUUUCUUGAAGGUCUCGCCGACUAGAGGAAUCAAGAGAUUCGGGAUUCGGGGAAAGUUGAGCCCCUAUUUUAUUGGACCGUAUGAGAUUUUGGAACGUGUAGGCCGGGUAGCGUAUCGACUUGCCCUACCGCCGAAUCUAUCGGGCGUGCACAACGUCUUUCAUGUAUCGGUCCUUCGGAGAUACAUUCAUGAUCCAGCUCACGUUUUGUAUGCUUUACCAGUGGAGCUGCAUGAGGAUUUGAGCUUCGAGGAGCAACCAGUGAAGAUUUUGGCUCGCGAGGUGAAGAAGCUGCGUAAUCGGGAUAUUCCGUAUGUGAAGAUCCUUUGGAGCAACCACGGGGAGCGAGAGGCUACGUAGGAGCUAGAUAGCGCUCUGCAGGAGCGUUAUCCCCAUCUCUUUCAGAUAGAGUCUUGAGGUAUGCUGUAUUCCGAGUUUCGCGGACGAAACUCCUUUUUAGGAGGGGUGAAUGUAACGCACUGGACCUUUGCAAAUUGCGAGGUUCGAGUGUUUGAUCUGUAUUCUGAGCUUUUCCAGAUAUUCUGGAGGGUCGUAGACAGUGUUCCGACCUAUGGCUCGCAUCCCGAGAAUUGUGGGUUUAAGCUUCUACCAAAAUCCCAAAAUGUAGGAUUGUUGGUGUGCUCUCAGGUUGCCUCUGCAGGAUUGUGUACCGGUACAACCUUGAUGGUUGUACCGGAACGCAAUGUGUACCGGUACAGCCUCGAUGUCGUACCGGUACACUUCGAAUUUUCUGCCAACCCGGUGCUCGGGUUGGGCAGUUUCGCAGGAAGUGUACCGGUACACUUUCCCGUGUACCGGUACACAAUGCAGACUGGGCUGAGUUCGGAGAGGGUUGUAUUCGCAAUUGUUGCAACCUCUAUAAAUAUCACCCCAGCCCCCAAAGCUGCUCUUUUUGAGCCCUAACCAGUGGAGAUCAAGGUGAGUCUCCCUCGCCUUGUUUGAUCUCUAUUUUUGGUGGAUUUUAUGGUAUUUUGAUCUCUCUUUUUUUUCUCCUCUUUGCUACUUGUUGGGUUUUCUUCAUUGUUGAAGACUUGGAGCUUGGAGAGGAGCUUGUUUGAGAGGAGAUCUUCAACCCCUCUUGGUUCGGAGCCUAGUUUGGAGCAAUUUGAGAGGUGAGUAGCACUUUUCUACUCCUUGAUCUUUGUUUUGAGAGAUUUUAUGAGAUGAAACCCUAGAAUAAGACUUAGGGUUUAUAUUUUGGGGCUUUUUGAUUAGAAGCUUUUAGAGCUCUAUUGAUGGAUUUAGAACCUUGGAUUAGGUUGCUUUGGAAGGGAUUUGGCUUCCAUUAGAGCUUUAUUUUAGGAUUUCUUCAUCUAGGUGAGUUUUUCUCCACCUUAGCUUGAGAUGGUUAAUGAUCAACCUUAUGGUUGUUCGUAAGGUCCGUUUAACUCUUGUUUCUACACCUCUAGGGUGGUAGAAGACUAGUGGACACCUUCGUCGGAGCAAACGAAGGAGUUGCAAGAGUUGUAGUGGGUUUGGCUUCAUUGAAAUAGGGGGAAAUGCCUCCUACGUGGUUAAAUAUUUUCGUAUACUAUAAAUGCAUGGAUAUCCAUAUUGAAUAGAAUUUAUAUGAAUUUUAGAAUGCUUAAAACUCUUAUGUUAUGCAUCAUGAAAAAUUGACUCUAUGUUGUAGAGAGAAGCAUAUGCAUUGUUAGUAUGCAUGGGUUUAAUGUUCUAACGAAUGAUGUAAGAUCAUAUUUCUUGUGUGGAAAAUGAUUAGAAUGACAAGCUUUUAGACUUAUUAUUCAUAUUGGGAUAUAGUAAGCAAAAGCGUCAUAAAGGGGUACUUGAACUAGAAAAUUGUUGAACUGCAACUUAGAGACAUGAUGAUAGGCCGCUAGAAAUCUACUAAAUUCCAUGUUUUAGACAUGAUGAUAUAGAAAUAGGCCAUUGAGACAGUUACCAUAUUCUAUGUUUUAGACACGAUGACAUAGAGGCAGGCCUUUGGGACAUGUGCUGUAUUCCGGAUUUUAGAUCCGAUGAAACAGUGAUGAACCACUAGGACCUGAGACGGACUUAUUCGCUUGCAUGCCAUUGUGCUCAUUCGCACAUACUUGUGAGGGUCGCUCUCUACAAGUCGGCACUCCGGAGAUAGCCAUCGCGACAUAUGCUCGCCCAUGCGGGAUUGGGCGCCAAAAUAGGAUGCCGUGGGAGAGGCUCAUUCCUAAAGUGGGGAUGUUGACUACCACGGGGCCAUUGUUUGCACGGCGCAGGCCGGACUACCUACGGGUAGCUUCCACAGGAUUGGGUUACUGGUGACAUAUUGUACCUUUUGGAUAUUCACUAGAAUAGUAGAUAAUGACACAUUACCAUUGUAGCUUCUGAUUAUUGUGUUGCGCUUAUACUUCUGCAAUUAUGCCAUGAUAGUUUAUUACUUAUGCAAAUUCAUGCUAAGUAGAGAUCAUGUGGUAGUUUAUUACUUAUGCAAAUCCAUGCUAAGUAGAGAUCAUGUGGUCGUUUAUUACUUAUGCAAAUUCGUGACAUCAUGCUAUAGUGAGCUUCCAUUUCAGUGAUUUAUUUGUUUAUAUUAUUCUUACCUGCCUUACUUACUUUACUUGCUUAGUUUUGGGCCUAAUGGUGCAAUUCACUGAAGUCAGUAAUUGCCCACUGGGAACUAUUAUUUAAUAGUUCUCACGCCCUCUGUUUUAUGUUUUCCUUUCAGAGCCCUCUGCACCGGUGGAGGCACGGGACCGCGGCAAGGGGAUCGCUAGCUAGAUAGCGAGGAUUUACUUUUACUCUUAGGUGGUUUCCCCUCUUUUUAUGUUUUGGGAGAGCGAAAGAUUUUGUUUACCAUGUAUAGAGACCACCUAUGUACUCUUUUAGUUCUUGUAUUUGGAUCUUUGGUUGUACUACUUUAUGGUUUAUUUAGUGAUUUUAGCUCUCUACUCUUCACAUUGCUUUAGUUUCUAGAUGUUGUAUAUUGCUCUAAUACUUCUAGUUGUUUUCUUUUAUCGUCUCAUUUAUCGUUUUGUUUUAGACGCCUUAUAUGUUUUAGACGUAUGGCGGGUCUGUGCACGUGCCGGGCGGGCUUCCGCUGAGUCCCGGG
RNAcentral lists this long non-coding RNA (8164 nucleotides) under Ananas comosus (pineapple). RNAcentral's name for it is "long non-coding RNA (ACOM_LNC044541)". Lineage: Eukaryota; Viridiplantae; Streptophyta; Magnoliopsida; Poales; Bromeliaceae. The record is from RNAcentral.